GCCUUUUCUUUUACUCAAUGGACUCGAUGAAUUAACGUUGUAUUUGAAAAAUGAAACCGUACUUUACUACAAACACUUUUCAUAUUCUUUGCCAAGUUUUAGGUAUUCGACAUAGGAUAGUGAUUUUUUUUCUGAUUCCGUUUACUUGAAGAAAAAAAAUCCCGAAAUUGUAAGUAAAUUCAUAACAUGUAACCAACCAUGCUUUGUUAAGAAAAAACGGAGAUGGCCAAUCAUGGCACAGGG
This 243-nucleotide long non-coding RNA is filed under the name Mytilus galloprovincialis (Mediterranean mussel). Lineage: Eukaryota; Metazoa; Mollusca; Bivalvia; Mytilida; Mytilidae. The record is from RNAcentral.